Molecule: ribosomal RNA, 422 nt
Filed under: uncultured eukaryote
Lineage: Eukaryota
Description: SSU rRNA
Rfam family: Eukaryotic small subunit ribosomal RNA
Source: RNAcentral
CAAUAGCGUAUAUUAAUGUUGCUGCAGUUAAAAAGCUCGUAGUUGGAUUUGUGGCGGGUCCUGUGGCUCGGUCUUUAUUGACCGGUGCCGUUUUGGGCCUGCCAUCCUUGGGUGGAAUCAGUGUGGCAUUAAGUUGUCGCGCUGGGGAUGCCCAUCGUUUACUGUGAAAAAUUAGAGUGUUCAAAGCAGGCUUACGCCGUUGAAUAUAUUAGCAUGGAAUAAUGAGAUAGGACCUUGGUACUAUUUUGUUGGUUUGCGCACCGAGGUAAUGAUUAAUAGGGACAGUUGGGGGUAUUCGUAUUCCAUUGUCAGAGGUGAAAUUCUUGGAUUUCUGGAAGACGAACUACUGCGAAAGCAUUUACCAAGGAUGUUUUCAUUAAUCAAGAACGAAAGUUAGGGGAUCGAAGAUGAUCAGAUACCAU